CUAAGCUGUCGUUCCACUGUGAUGACACAGUGCUCAGCAAGCUGGACAGCCAUGACAUUAGUCUGAAGAGCACGCAGUAUCCUACGCACGCAAAGAAAUGCUCCUGAAGAAAUUAAUUUGUAAUACCUUUGAUCAUAUCCUAAACCACAGCUGCAGAUAGGUUCACAGCCUCUGCAAUGCUCUGAGGCAGACACCGAGAGAAGGAGUGUUCCAGUCCUCGGCUCCCAAAAUCCUGAGCCUCCAGAGCUCUGUGUGGCGCCUACUCACAGUCCCCACUGCCAGAGGUGAAAGCAAGAGGAAGGAAAUGCUGCUCUUGGAGACCACCAAAGGGGAGAGAAGAUGGGCCCAUUCUGCUGCAGCCACCCAACAAGGCUGUGAAUUUGGGUUAGAGGCAGG
This 396-nucleotide long non-coding RNA is filed under the name Cyanistes caeruleus (blue tit). RNAcentral describes it as "lncRNA (ENSCCEG00000021516.1)". The record is from RNAcentral. Lineage: Eukaryota; Metazoa; Chordata; Aves; Passeriformes; Paridae.